Molecule: ribosomal RNA, 501 nt
Filed under: uncultured bacterium
Lineage: Bacteria
Description: partial 16S ribosomal RNA
Rfam family: Bacterial small subunit ribosomal RNA
Source: RNAcentral
AUUGAACGCUGGCGGCAUGCCUUACACAUGCAAGUCGAACGGCAGCACGGGUGCUUGCACCUGGUGGCGAGUGGCGAACGGGUGAGUAAUACAUCGGAACGUACCUUAUCGUGGGGGAUAACGCAGCGAAAGCUGUGCUAAUACCGCAUAAGCCCUGAGGGGGAAAGCGGGGGAUCGAAAGACCUCGCGCGAUUAGAGCGGCCGAUGCCUGAUUAGCUUGUUGGUGGGGUAAAAGCCCACCAAGGCGACGAUCAGUAGCUGGUCUGAGAGGACGAUCAGCCAAGCUGGGACUGAGACACGGCCCAGACUCCUACGGGAGGCAGCAGUGGGGAAUUUUGGACAAUGGGGGCAACCCUGAUCCAGCAAUGCCGCGUGAGUGAAGAAGGCCUUCGGGUUGUAAAGCUCUUUUGUCAGGGAAGAAACACCGGCUCUAACACAGUCCGGGAAUGACGGUACCUGAAGAAUAAGCACCGGCUAACUACGUGCCAGCCGCCGCCGUAA